CCAGGGCAAUUUGAUAAGGUAGGUGAAGGGUGUUACUACCCUUUGCUCUCUCAUUGCAAUUGAAAGCAUUCCUGGAUUUUAGGUGGACCCCACUGGCUACCUUGGUGAGCAUAGAAUCAUCCUUUUUGUUAUCAAAAGAAGAUGCUAUUUAAUUUGAGGAACCUGUUGAACAACGUGACUCUUAGAAAUGGUCACCAUCUCGUGGUUCGAAAUUUUCGCUGUGGACAACCACUACAAAACAAAGUACAGCUGAAAGGUCGUGACCUUCUCACUCUGAAGAACUUUACAGGAGAAGAAAUCAAGUAUAUGCUGUGGUUAUCAGCAGAUCUGAAAUUUAGGAUAAAACAGAAAGGAGAGUAUGUGCCCUUAUUACAAGGAAAGUCACUGGGCAUGAUUUUUGAAAAAAGGAGUACUCGAACAAGAUUGUCCACAGAAACAGGCUUUGCACUUCUAGGAGGACACCCUUGUUUUCUUACCACACAAGAUAUUCAUUUGGGUGUGAAUGAAAGUCUCACGGACACAGCCCGUGUGUUGUCUAGCAUGACAGAUGCAGUGUUGGCUCGAGUGUAUAAACAAUCAGAUCUGGACAUCCUGGCUAAAGAAGCAACCAUCCCAAUCAUCAAUGGGCUGUCAGAUUUGUACCAUCCUAUCCAGAUCCUGGCUGAUUAUCUCACACUCCAGGAACACUAUGGCUCUUUGAAGGGCCUCACUCUUAGCUGGAUUGGAGAUGGGAACAACAUCCUUCACUCCAUUAUGAUGAGUGCGGCAAAAUUCGGGAUGCACCUCCAAGCGGCUACUCCAAAGGGUUACGAGCCAGAUCCCAGUAUCACCAAGUUGGCAGAGCAGUAUGCCAAGGAGGAUGGUACCAGGCUGUUGCUGACGAAUGAUCCAUUGGAAGCAGCUCGCGGAGGCAAUGUAUUAAUUACAGACACUUGGAUAAGUAUGGGACAAGAAGAGGAGAAGAAAAAGCGGCUCCAGGAUUUCCAAGGUUACCAGGUUACAAUGAAGACUGCCAAAGUAGCUGCUUCUGACUGGACAUUUUUACACUGCUUGCCCAGAAAGCCAGAAGAAGUGGAUGAUGAAGUUUUUUAUUCUCCACGUUCACUAGUAUUCCCAGAGGCUGAAAAUAGAAAGUGGACAAUCAUGGCUGUCAUGGUGUCUCUGCUGACAGAUUACUCACCUCAGCUCCAGAAGCCCAAAUUCUGAUGCUGUGAUGCUUGUCUUCAGUACCGGAAUGAGUCAGUUUAUGGGGGAAGGAGAAGAAAAUCUAAGAAAUAAGCAAACCCUGAUACAUGCUAUAGUAUUAGAAGAAUGUUUCCAGGUUGGCUGAUGGAUAUUCUUCAGCAGAUAGUUAUGACUUAAAUGAAGAGUAGAGGAACGAUUUAAGCAGAAGGUGCCAUGUGGAUUGUGGAGGCUCUCCCUCAAAGUGCCUACAUACAAAAGACAAUCCGGAGUGUCCUGCCACUUUCUAAACAGUCCUCCAUGGUAAUGAGCUCUUAUUCUUUGCUGGUUAUUCUUUGAACCAAAUGGAAGAUAUAAUUUUGUUCCUUCAAUCAGGAAGAACUUGUAAACAUUUCUUGACAGAACGUAGUCACUUUACUUCAAAGAGCCCCAAAGCUUUCUUUUUUAUGUACACACAAUUUAACAUCCUUCUGAACCCAAACCUGUAGGAAUUUCUUUGCUUCCUUCACUUUUCAUCUUAAGGAGACAUUAUUUAUAUCAUCAAGAAUAAAGAAAACAGGGAAGGAAAAUUUAGUCUUAAUUUUUUCCAAAGCUAUUUGUAGCUCCUGUUUCUUUUUUCUCUUUCCUCCCUGAUUCCCCUUCCUAUGUAACCACUGUAAGGACCUUUGCAUCUCUGGUAUACAUAAUCAAUCCUACCCACUUAAUUAAUAUAACUAGCCAAAGACUUCCUUUCUUCCAGGCUUUCUCCACUGUAACAUUGGAAGUAGAAAACAUGAAGUGAUUACACUGCAAUGAUUUCAGUGUUCGAGAAGAAUCAUCAGUUGUUUUUUUUUUCAGUGAUAAGUUUCCAAGAAUGUUAGAAAAAUAAUUCAACAUCAGAUAUUUCUAAUGUAUAUUACACUAAUCAUUAUAAAAUCCCCAGGCAGAAAGAUCUGCACAGAUGAACUUGGCAAUACCACAUUAGACCUUCUAUACAAGCAGGUGACCCUAGAACCUCAGUUAAAAUGGCAGGGGCUCCUUGGUCUAAUGCCAAACCUGCAAGGCAAGUCUUCUCAUGUGAUAAAAAUGAAGGAAGAAUAUAUGCAGAGAGCGUAUGCAGAACACACUCUUUUUUGGGCGUUUUUUUGUCUUAGAAGCUCUAUCAAUGUUUGGAUUAUGGUGAUGGCUGAGGAACGUCUUGAGACAUGGCACCACUCAGCAAUUUGGAAAACCAAAGCAAAAUGGUAGUCUGUGUGUUUCCAGAUGGGGUGAGACUCUGCUGGGGUGGGCCUGAUAGAAUGACAAGGGUUCUUAUGAGAGAAAGGCAGGAGGUCAGAAGCCAGAGAAGAGAGUAGCCAUGCUGCCGGCUUUGAAGAGGGAGGAAGGGAGCCAUGAGCCCAAGGCUAAUGGCAGCCUCUGGAGACGAGAAAGGGCAAGAAAUUGGUAGGAUUGAUUCUUUUGACAAAUAUGAAAGGUCAUAUCAAAGAAUGGAAAACCAGUCAAAUCACAAUGAUCAGACUCCUACAGCCAGGAACACCAUAUACUGAUGUACAAAUUGUGUUCUGUGCAAAGGUUUCAGGUGAAAGGUGUGAUGAGGGGUUGAAGCCUGGUCUGCACUUCAGUUCCUCGUUGUGUACCCUCUUGUAGGCGUUAUAGCCAAGAGGAAGGAGUGACAUUUUUUUCACAAGUUGUCCACCCAGAGAGGACAUUUUUCAGAAUGUCAUAAGCCUGAAGAAGUGCUUUCUUUGGUCACACAAAGGGCCAGGAUCUGGUAGGGAUUGGCACUACCAUCAACUAUUCACAUCAGGAAUCUUUUUCAAUACCACCUUGUACUUGAUUAAAAUGAGACACGUAGGGACACUUCAGUGAUGGUUUUGGUGUCUUGCCUCAGUUUCUGCCACAAUUUCAUUAAGGCUCCAUAAUGGGAACAGUAGUGUCUGACCAACUUUGUCACUAGCAAAUACAUGACACCAAUCACUGAAGUAGAAAUUUGAGGUCAACUCUUCAGUCCUUUAAUAUUUUAAAGAAAUUCAUCCCUAAUAAUUGUCCAGAAAAUUUAAUAUCAAUUAUUGAUGAAAGAAUCUUGGUCAGAGCAAAUGGAAGCAAAAUCCCAGACAUGGACUAAAUUUUUUCACAGUUUUAAUAGUGCCUGUCUUAUAUCAAUGAUACCAGACUUAGUUUCUAAUCUUUAUUUAUUUAUUUAUACUGUGAAACUCAUUCCCAGAGGAAAUGCAAGCACAAUUGCCUUCUGGAGCAAAAUCAUUAGGCAAAUGAAUUUUUAAACUGGAAUGAGGUGCACAAAUAAUCCAGACUAUCCCUUCAGUUUGCAAAAGAAGAAAAUAGGAAAUAAGAAAAUGUUCAUAGGCUAGACAUAUAUACAAUAGGCAGAGAUAAUGCAUGUGUUCAGUGCCCCUCUGCAUGCUAUCUGGGAUCCUGCAAAUGUAGCCGCUUGAUUUGAUUUACCUCACAGGCUGAGUUGGGGAUAGGAAGCUGGCUGGUCCAGGACUCUGGUUCUGUGCAGCCAUAGGCCAGAGAGGAGAGUUCACAGAGGAGGCAGGGAUGGGUACAGACAUCCAGAGACAUGAGCAGAGAUCCAAAAAACAUCCACAUAACAGGUGAUGGUGGUGCCCUGUCCAGAUCCUUUUACCUGGGUUUGCCAAGCCCUCAGCUGGGUUGGCUGCUAAUGGCUCAUAGCUGCCCUCUUUUCUGAAGAGCUGCUCUCAUCCACCAGGAACCACUUAGCACAGGACGUUACAUUCUGGCUCCCAUCUCACAACCAGCAGUCCACAGUCAAUGAAUGACUGAGAGAGGUGUACAAAGACUUGCUCCCUUCCUUCUAGGCAAGACAACUCUGUGGUGAAAUUCAUGCUCCAGAGCUCCGCAUGGGAUCAGGCUGAAGCUGGUGUCAGAGACCACAUCUUUGGUUAGCUUCCCCUACUGCUUAACCUGCUUCCCCUUCUUCUGAGAGUGCUUCCUCAAUAAAUCAUUUGCACAAGAAUGUCCAUUUCAGGCUCUACCUUUAGGGACUCUGAUCUGGUAUGAUCCAUGAAUAAGAUGUUUCAGAGGUCUGUAUUGUACUGUUCAUCCUUCAGGCACCAAGGAAGAGUAGAGAAUUAAGGAGCCAUUAGACAAAUGCUGAAGAGCUCAUGCCUAAUAAGCAAAAAGUUUCCAGUUACCAGGGUCAACCUUUCUUAAAAGGAAGUAGAACUUUAAAUGUAACAAAUAUUAUUUUCCAGUCACAAGUUCAAAUUCAUAACAAGGUCUCUAUCAGCUGCACAGAAUAGGAGACUAAUUUGCUUUCUCCAGAGAAGAGUAGAUAUGAGUUAGCUGGCAUGAUAUUUCUGAUUUUAGUUGUGUUGUUUUAGUACCUUUAGACAGGCAAACCUGGCGGCUGCUUAGUGGGCCUGCCCUUCUCAUUGCCUUCCGGCUUCCUCCAAAGCUUCUUAUUCAGCUGGUCUAGGUUGGAACCUGAGAAUCUGCAUUUUAAACAAGUGCCAUGGGAUGCUGAUACUGCUGGUCCAAAGACCACACUUUGAGAAUCAUUAGUCUGAGGCAGUUCUAAAGACUUAUUUGAGGUGUGUUCGUCUCCACAUCCCUAAAGCACCACCUUAAGGCAUUUGGCCAAUCCAGAUCCUCUUAAUUAAUCUGUCUUUGGACCCACUGAGGUGUGUGUUUCAUCCCUAUUCUGCUAUCUAACAGCUAUUGAACCCUGCUCUCCUUAUCUCUACAAUGGGAACAAUAACACCCAUCUCAUAAUGUUGUUGGGAGAAUUAAAUGAAAUAACAUAUAUAAGAUCAUUUGCUUAGAGCAAGUGCUCAGUAAAUAUUAACCCUUUUUUAUUUGAUCAAUUGUUUCCAAUGCUUUAUAUGUUUUUUCUUUGGAUCGUUGUAACAACAUUCUAUCCUGUCAUCAUAAAUAUAUUGAGUAAAAUACUUGGUGUGCAAGAAAAGUGCAAGGAAUGAGCUUGUCUUCUGAAGUUUGCCAAGAGCCCAGCUGCUGCGUGCUUUAGGUGAGUCAUCUCUCUCCACCAGCUGGUUUGUGAAUGUGCUGCCCAGGUGAGCCAUCUGGCACUUUGCCAAACCAAACCACGGAAGUCAACAAGUCCAAAAAUCUAACCAAGGUGACUAAAUGCUUUGCUUAGGAAAGCAUGGUGGGAAUUCCCAUUUAUAUGAAAUAAAUCAGAGGCAUCUGGCAAUUGGUGGACUUGGGGUCUUGCUGAUAAAAGGAGAAAGAGAUUAGGAAGAACUCAUCAGGAUUUAUUCAUCUCUGUCUGAGGCUACAACUGCUCAAAUGAAGGUUUCAAACUAUUCUUAAGGCAGCAACUUUCAAAUGUUUUGGUCUCAGGACCUCUUUAUAUUCUCAUAAACUAUAAGAUAUCAAAGAGCUUUUGUCUAUGUAGGAUAUAUGUAUCAGUAUAUAACAGUAAAAAUUGAAACAAAUUUGAGAAAUACUUAUUGAUUCAUUUAAAAAUAACAAUAGUAAACCCCUUACAGGUUAACAUGAAUAAUAUAUUUUUAUGAAAAAAACUAUUAUUUUUUAAAACAAAUAAAGUUAAUGAAUAGAAGGGCUGACAUUGUUUUAUAUUUUUGCACAUAUCUUUGAGGUCUACCUUAAUAGAAGACAGCUGAAUUCUCAUAUCUGCUUCUGCAUUCCAUCUGUGGCACAUUGUUGGUUUGAAGCAUAGGAAGAAUAUUUGGUCUCACAGAGAUAAGUAGUUGAAAAGGGAAGGCUAUUUUAAUAGAUUUCAAGUAAUCAUGGAUAUUAUUUGAUGUUACAUUGAAAAUUCACAAGUGAUAGCUCCUUAAAGAUUAGUUGCGAUUUGGAAUCUGAACCCCAUCAAUGAACUUUACACACUUAUAUUAGACAUGCCUGUCUUACACUUUGGAUAGAUAUUUUACCCAUGUGUGAUUCCACAUUGGUCAUUUGGAAACUAUUAGCUCAUGGAAUUAUGCAGGUCUUCCAAAUUAUGGUACAUUACAUAAAAAUUUUUAAAUUACAUUUCUUAAUAUCACCAUUGCUAUGCCUGAAUGUUUGUGUUCUCCCAAAAUUCAUAUAAUGGACUGCUAACCCCCAAAGAUUAUGGUAUUAGUAGGAGGGCCUUUGGAAGGUGAUUAGGGCAUGAGGGUGGAGCCCUCAUGAAUGGGAUUAGUGCCCUUAUACCCCACAGAGCUCUAUAAUCUCUUCUACCAUGCAGUGAGAAGGCACCAGCUAUGAAUCAGGUUGUGUUCCUCACCAGACACAACCACACUGGCAUCUUGAUACUGGACUUCCCAACCUCCAGGACUGUGAGAAGUAACUGUCUGCUGUCGAUAAGCCACCCAGUCUGUUGUAUUUUGUUAUGGCAGCACAGAUGGACUAAGGCAGCUACCUAUCACUUUAGAAUAAUAUUUAAGUAUUGCAAAACAGAUACAAAUUUUACACAAUUCUAAUUUUCUCUUGAAAGCUCAACUUUUAUCUUUGGCAACAAAUAGUGUCAUCUACUUCCCUUGAAGUGACAGGUUCACCUCUUUCAUUUUUAAGAUGUCUGCAAAAACCCAAGUCCUAAUGCACAGUUUGCCAAUGUUAUUUUUUUUUCCUUUUGGUCAAUUAAAACUGGUGUACCAUGCAAGAGGCAGCUAGUUCAACAUACAGCUCAAAGAAUUGCAUAAGUGCUUUUCUUCAAGACAGUCAUCAUAUUUCAUUAUGCAAGAGAAAGGCUUAAAUACCUACUUCUCAUGUUAUGACACAAUAUUAAAGAGAUGUGUAUUCAAGGGUUGAAAUUUAAUAUUAAUGACUUUUACUGCUUCAUCAAUGACAUUCACAAGUGAGUCUGGCUUUUAAAAAAAUUGCUUGUAUGCUACAGUGAAGAAUAAAAUAAAUUCUGGUUCUAUGCUUUGCUUUUGUGCUAAGGUGUCAGCGGUUUUACUUACCAUUCCUUUUGUAUCAUCCACUGAUGCUGCUGAUCCAGGGACCACCCCUUGUGAAGCAAGGUCCUAUACUGCCUUCUGGGAUCCGAGGCAGGCCAAGUGAGAACUCUGGAACACCCAUUCCUGAUUAAACCAGAACAGCUACUUACUCGGAUUUUAUCUGUACUAUUUAGUAGCAUUCCUCAAAAAGUUUUAUUUUCUGAUGGAAAAUAAAAAGUUUAUGACUCACUUCUA
Molecule: RNA transcript, 7301 nt
Organism: Manis javanica (Malayan pangolin)
Lineage: Eukaryota; Metazoa; Chordata; Mammalia; Pholidota; Manidae
Gene: OTC
Gene name: ornithine transcarbamylase
Source: RefSeq, a predicted model, not a curated record